CCUAGGCAGCAGUGGGGAAUUCUGGACAAUGGGCGCAAGCCUGAUCCAGCAAUGCCGCGUGAGUGAAGAAGGCCUUCGGGUUGUAAAGCUCUUUUGUCAGGGAAGAAACGGCUGAGGCUAAUAUCCUCGGCUAAUGACGGUACCUGAAGAAUAAGCACCGGCUAACUACGUGCCAGCAGCCGCGGUAAUACGUAGGGUGCAAGCGUUAAUCGGAAUUACUGGGCGUAAAGCGUGCGCAGGCGGUUUUGUAAGUCUGUCGUGAAAGCCCCGGGCUUAACCUGGGAAUUGCGAUGGAGACUGCAAGGCUUGAAUCUGGCAGAGGGGGGUAGAAUUCCACGUGUAGCAGUGAAAUGCGUAGAGAUGUGGAGGAACACCGAUGGCGAAGGCAGCCCCCUGGGUCAAGAUUGACGCUCAUGCACGAAAGCGUGGGGAGCAAACAGGAUUAGAUACCCUGGUAGUCCACGCCCUAAACGAUGUCUACUAGUUGUCGGGUCUUAAUUGACUUGGUAACGCAGCUAACGCGUGAAGUAGACCGCCUGGGGAGUACGGUCGCAAGNUUAAAACUCAAAGGAAUUGACGG
This 580-nucleotide ribosomal RNA is filed under the name uncultured bacterium. Its description in RNAcentral is "bacterial SSU rRNA". It matches the Rfam family "Bacterial small subunit ribosomal RNA", at positions 343 to 916 of the family's 1533-position model. The record is from RNAcentral.